RNAcentral lists this non-coding RNA (24 nucleotides) under Rattus norvegicus (Norway rat). The record is from RNAcentral. Lineage: Eukaryota; Metazoa; Chordata; Mammalia; Rodentia; Muridae.
GAAUGAGUGAAUCAAUGAUGCCUU